GUCGCCCUAAAUCUCUAAUCCACGUUUCUUCCUCGCCGUCGACUGCCUCGGAAGAGAGAAGGGGAAUGGUAAUGGUCACGGCAUCGCCGGCAGCGGCGUCGCGCCCUCCUCUCGCUAUUCCGCACUCUGGUUCCACUUUCCCUCUUGGACCCCGUUGGCGCCGGGCUCUGCUCGACGUCCCGGCGGCGAAUGGGGCUCGGCCGCAAGGCCGCUGGCGACGCGACACCGCUGUUCGGUGCGAAGGCGGUGCCGCUGCUGCUGGGCAGCGGGUCCUCAGGACGUGCAAGAACUGCAAGCGGCAGUAUGACCCCGCCCUCAACCAUCCCUUGGCCUGCCGCUUCCACACCGCCCACUUCGGCGGAGAAACCAAGAGAAAGUUUGAGAGUGUGUACACAGGAGGGACCAUGGACACCCCUGACUCUGGCAAAGUGUUCCAGUACUGGCAUUGCUGUGGCUCUGAAGAUCCAUUUGAUGCUGGUUGCACAGCUGCUCCUCACUGCUCUUAUGAUGACUGAUAUCACAUGGUUGGCCUUCGGUACUUAUCAGUAAUGGACAAAGUCCUUCCUUCUUCCAACAGACGAUCGGCUUUGAUUCUGUAGCCCAAAGCAAAACGAUGAACAUCAUGUAUAGAAGCAGCUGAAGCAUCGACCAUGGAUCUUUCUUUUCUCAUACCUUGUGCUGUAUAAUUUUACAGGCAACAAUCCUGUUGUUGAUACAUUCGGCUUCUAAUUUUAUUAUGCAGUUGAAUUAUAUUCA
Musa acuminata AAA Group (dessert banana) is the source of this 756-nucleotide long non-coding RNA. RefSeq lists it as uncharacterized. Lineage: Eukaryota; Viridiplantae; Streptophyta; Magnoliopsida; Zingiberales; Musaceae. The transcript has 2 exons. The record is from RefSeq and is a predicted model, not a curated record.